AUUGAACGCUGGCGGCAGGCCUAACACAUGCAAGUCGAGCGAGUGGCGGACGGGUGAGUAAUGUCUGGGAAACUGCCCGAUGGAGGGGGAUAACUACUGGAAACGGUAGCUAAUACCGCAUACCAUUGGAUGUGCCCAGAUGGGAUUAGCUUGUAGGUGAGGGAACGGCUCACCUAGGCGACGAUCCCUAGCUGGUCUGAGAGGAUGACCAGCAACAUUGGAAAGGAGACACGGUCCAGACUCCUACGGGAGGCAGAAAUGGGGAAGAUGGCACAAUGGGGGCAAGCCGGAUGCAGCCAUGCCGCGUGUAUGAAGAAGGCCUUCGGGUUGUAAAGUACUUUCAGCGGGGAGGCGGUACCCGCAGAAGAAGCACAGGCUAACUCCGUGCCAGCAGCCGCGGUAAUAC
This 406-nucleotide ribosomal RNA is filed under the name uncultured bacterium. RNAcentral describes it as "partial 16S ribosomal RNA". It matches the Rfam family "Bacterial small subunit ribosomal RNA", at positions 29 to 526 of the family's 1533-position model. The record is from RNAcentral.